This 4292-nucleotide long non-coding RNA is filed under the name Salvia miltiorrhiza (redroot sage). Its description in RNAcentral is "long non-coding RNA (SMIL_LNC001475)". Lineage: Eukaryota; Viridiplantae; Streptophyta; Magnoliopsida; Lamiales; Lamiaceae. The record is from RNAcentral.
AGACAUACCAUUUAAAGAGGCGCCACCAAGGUAUAGUUGACGGAGACUUGUGAUGUUCAAGAUUUGUCUUGGAAAUGGUCCACUAAGAUUGUUGGAACUCAUGACUAAUAUCUCUAGAUUAUUAAGAUUACCAAUCUCUUUCGGAAUACCACCUGUGAAAUUGUGUCAAAUCAUGAUAACUAUUUUUGAAUCGGGUGUAGUAAUAAUAUGUUACAAAUAGUAUGAACUACAAAUUAAAUCAUAAGUAUUAGAAAAAUAGUUAGUGAUGUGUUUUUCCUAAUUAUAUGAAAGUGAAUAUAUCAUAUGGGAUAAAUUGUAAACAAUUCCAUUUAGAUCGAUGCAAACUGUGUCAAGAAUAGAGAGAGAGAGAGAAAUAAUAAUAAUAAUAAUAAUAAUAAUAAAGUCCACCUGUGAAAUUGAGCCCACCAACAGUAAUGCAUGAGCAAUAUAUCUUGUGAUAUGGGCUAAGUUGUAAACAAUUCGGUUUAGAGUCUACUAAAGUAAUCAUGAGCAAUAGUAUUAAUUAAGUUAAGUGGUCUCUCUGAUAUUUACGAAUUGGUUACAAGUUGUUAAAAUAAAAUUAAAAAGUCAUUUAUUUAAUCAAAGCAUACGGUUAAUUUAUUGCUAAGGUUAAUCCUUUGUUCACUGACAAUCAUAUUAAUGUUAAACUGUAAACUGUAAAUUGUAAAUCGAGUCAAAGCAGUAAUAUACAAUGUUCAAAGAACAGAAAAUAGGACAGAAAAGUGACGAUAAAUAUGAUUAACAAUUGGCUUAUUAGAAAUAACAAUAAAGGUGGUUAAUGCCACAGACCAAAUAUCUCAAUAAAAAAAAUUAGCAGAAAGAGUAAUGACAUACCUGCAGUUAAAGAGAUGUUGCGAAUGUAUAAUUCACGAAGAGUCGUGACAUUCCAAAGUUGUCUUGGUAAUCGUCCACUGAAUUUGUUGUCGCUUAUGCUCAACACCUGUAAAUAAUUAAGAUAACCAAUCUCUUUCGGUAUAUCACCUGUGAAAUAAUGUCAAGUUAAAAAAUUAUGUUUGAUUAUAAAGUAUAUUAGUGGUAUACCACUUCAAAUUGCUCCCCUAUCCAUUGUGGAUAGUUGCAAAUGCAGAAAAAGGAGUUGGAAUAAUCCGAAUUCCAUACACAGAUAUACGAAACGAAAAAGAAUAUAAGUAAUAUUUUAGGAGUUGGAAUAAUCCGAAUUCCAUACACAGGGUGAGCUAUUAUGUGAGCUAAUAACAAUAAAGGUGGUUAAUGCCUCAGACCAAAUAUCUCAAUAAAAAAAUAUACGAAAAGAAAAAGAAUAUAAGUAAAAUUUUAGGACUGAAAAAAUACUAUUAUGUGAGCUAAUAUCCCAUUACAAGGGUGGGACUGAAAAAAUUCAAAUAAUGAAAACAAAAAUAUUCAUACGAUCAAUUAUGAAAUGUAAAUUAGCGUUGUCCAACUAUAUGAAAUUAAGUGAAUAUAUGUAUCUCUUGUGAUAUUUUGAGUACUUAACGUGAUCUUUCAAAACUUGUUGAACCUAUAAUGGUUAUUAGAUUUGACAUCAAAAUCCGUUUCUUCUCAAACCCCAAAACGAGAAAAAUGAGUAAUAAUUAUGACUGUUAGAGAUCAUAGUUGUCAUUUAUAUAGAUUUGCUCGUUGAUACCAAACGUGAUACCAGAAGUGAUACCAAGUCUGCUGACGAAUUUUCUUUGGAUAAGCUCAUAUUUUGACGAUUUUAUUUCCUAUUUUAGGGUGAUUUUCGGAGGAAAUCUUUGUGCAUCUUUUGGAUUGGCUUGCAAGUCUUUAUAGAGGAGUCCUUAUCAUUGAAGGAAACUUGGGAUUUCUCAUAUAUAAAUAUCGUCUCUCUCUUGGAGCUAGGGCUCGCUGGUUUUGACAUUCAAUCAAGCAGUUGGUGUGUGGAGCGUGAUUUGCAGCAAGAGAACAUCAUUGGUUUGGUCGUAUGUUCUAUUUCUUGUUACUUUGCUGUUCAUGUUAGUUUGAGCAAAGUAAGUUUCUCGUUCGCGAGUUUCCAGAUCGAUGCUUCGUUGUUCGUUCGCAAGUUUCCAGAUCGAGUUCUACUUGUGAGUGGGAUCUGUUUAUUUGCUUUUCCAUGUGGGUUUGAGUUGUUUGAGUUGUAAGGGAUUAAGUGUGUUCGUCGGGGCUCACACUUAGAGAGUUAGUGUUAUCUAGCUUACAACGGUUUAUCGUGUGUUGGGGUUUUGGGAAAUUAUAGAGGCGUUAGAAAGAUUGAGUCUUUGUGUAAGUCCUGCUGUAAUUUAACCUCACAUAGUGAAUCGUUUUCCCUGGGCGAGGCCCCCCAGACGUAGGUGUUCUAUCACCGAACUGGGUUACCAUAUCGUGUGUUCAAGCUUAUUUCUCUAUUUGUUAUCUGCUGUGAUUUGGUAUCUCAUUUGGUACCAUAUUGGGUUGCUGCGAGAUUUUAUGUGUAUUUGGAUAGGUGGCUGGUAUUACAAUGACAAAAUGGUAAAUCCUAAUCAUCUUUUUUCAUAUGAUGGAUAUAAUGUAAAGAGUAAUGCUAAAUAGCCAAAUUGUGGCCACCCACAAUUCACUUAAAUAGAAAAAAAAUUAAUUUAUUUAACUUAUUUUUUAAAAUAAAAAUAACUAAAUACUCUCAAGUUGUGUACAUUGACCCAAACUCAACGGUAUAUCUCCCUCCAAUUUGUUCGACCACAUGCUAAGUAGUUUGAGUCUUUGAAGGUUGUUAUGCGAGCAAAUGUCUUUUAGUAGGCGGCCUGAUAAAGUAUUAUGGUAUAAAAUACACCCUCCGUAUGCAAAAAUAUAUACCUAAAUAGCUUCGGCACAGAUUUUAAGAAUUUUGUUAAGUGUAUUGUGACCAAAUUUUACAAACUCCAGACCAUAUAAUCUCACAAAUCAACUUAGAUAAUAGCAUUAUACGAAAAAUAAUACUAUAACUUAAUUUAAAUUACAAUUUAAAAUAAUUCCAAGUCGAAAUACUCACUAGCUUUUUAUAUUUGGAGACUAUAAUACAUCAAAUCUAGAUUUAGGUGCAUGCCCGGUUUUGUUGUUAGAUCGAAAUACUCACUAGAUUUUUAAUAUUGUAACUUUAUAAAAGCAAAUAAUAAUAAUAAUAAUUAAAUUUCUUAACUAUAAAAAAAUUAUUGGGGAGCCCUAUGGCAUCUUCUAUAUGGAAAAUUGCUUUUAAUUAUUUUCCUUGGACGUGAUGAUUUUCAAAAAUCGAUUGAAAGGGAAAUAUAAUAUUCAUCUCAUACACGACGGGCAAUAGACUUUGACUUAAGCAUAAAACUAAAUGUGUAUCACGUAUUUUUUUCAAUUCCCAUGGUUAGUUAUGUACGAUAUAUAUACCAAUCUCUUUCACUAAAGUUUUGGCUUAAAGAGUAGUGCAGACAUACCAUUUAAAGAGGCGCCACCAAGGUGUAGUUCACGGAGACUUGUGAUGUUCAAGAUUUGUCUUGGAAAUGGUCCACUAAGAUUGUUGCCACUCAUGUCUAAAGUCUCUAAAUUAUUAAGAUAAACAAUCUCUUUCGGAAUACCACCCGUGAAAUUGUUUCAAAUCAUGAUAACUCGAUUUGAAUCGGGUGUAAUAAUAUGUUACAAAUAGUAUGAACUGCAAAUUAAAUCAUAAGUAUUAGAAAAAUAGUUAGUGAAGUGCUUUUCCUAAUUAAAUGAAAGUGAAUAUAUCAUAUGGGAUAAAUUGUAAACAAUUCCAUUUAGAUCGAUGCAAAUUGAGUCAAUAAGAGAGAGAGAGAAAGAGAUAAUAAUAAUAAUAAUAAUAAUAAUAAUAAUAAUAAUAAUAAUAAUAAUAAUAAUAAUAAAGUCCACCUGUGAAAUUGAGCCCACCAACAGUAAUGCAUGAGCAAUAUAUCUUGUGAUAUGGGCUAAGUUGUAAACAAUUCGGUUUAGAGUCUACUAAAGUAAUCAUGAGCAAUAGUAUUAAUUAAGUGGUCUCUCUGAUAUUUACGAAUGGGUUACAAGUUGUUAAAAUAAAAUUAAAAAGUCAUUUAUUUAAUCAAAGCAUACGGUUAAUUUAUUGCUAAUCCUUUGUUCACUGACAAUCAUAUUAAUGUUAAAUUGUAAACCGAGUCAAAGCAGUAAUAUACAAUGUUCAAAGAACAGAAAAUAGGACAGAAAAGUGACGAUAAAUAUGAUUAACAAUUGGCUUAUUAGAAAUAACAAUAAAGGUGGUUAAUGCCUCAAUAAAAAAAAUUAGCAGAAAGAGUAAUGACAUACCUGCAGUUAAAGAGAUGUUGGCAAUGUAUAAUUCACGAAGAGUCGUGACAUUCCAAAGUUGUCUUGGUAAUCGUCCACUG